RNAcentral lists this ribosomal RNA (492 nucleotides) under uncultured bacterium. RNAcentral's name for it is "partial 16S ribosomal RNA". It matches the Rfam family "Bacterial small subunit ribosomal RNA", at positions 29 to 507 of the family's 1533-position model. The record is from RNAcentral.
AGUGAACGCUGGCGGUAGGCCUAACACAUGCCAGUCGAACGGCAGCACAGUAAGAGCUUGCUCUUACGGGUGGCGAGUGGCGGACGGGUGAGGAAUACAUCGGAAUCUACUUUUUCGUGGGGGAUAACGUAGGGAAACUUACGCUAAUACCGCAUACGACCUACGGGUGAAAGCAGGGGAUCUUCGGACCUUGCGCGAUUGAAUGAGCCGAUGUCGGAUUAGCUAGUUGGCGGGGUAAAGGCCCACCAAGGCGACGAUCCGUAGCUGGUCUGAGAGGAUGAUCAGCCACACUGGAACUGAGACACGGUCCAGACUCCUACGGGAGGCAGCAGUGGGGAAUAUUGGACAAUGGGCGCAAGCCUGAUCCAGCCAUACCGCGUGGGUGAAGAAGGCCUUCGGGUUGUAAAGCCCUUUUGUUGGGAAAGAAAAGCAGCAGGUUAAUACCCCGCUGUUCUGACGGUACCCAAAGAAUAAGCACCGGCCAACUUCGUG